GCCCGCCCCGGCCCGACGCCCUCAGCCGCGGAGCCUUGCGUCCUGGUCCUGGCCCUGGCCCUGGUCCAGCGGCUG
RNAcentral lists this microRNA precursor (75 nucleotides) under Fukomys damarensis (Damara mole-rat). Its description in RNAcentral is "miRNA (ENSFDAG00000002208.1)". Lineage: Eukaryota; Metazoa; Chordata; Mammalia; Rodentia; Bathyergidae. The record is from RNAcentral.